UGGGGGAAUAUUGCACAAUGGGGGGAAACCCUGAUGCAGCGACGCCGCGUGAAGGAAGAAGUAUCUCGGUAUGUAAACUUCUAUCAGCAGGGAAGAUAGUGACGGUACCUGACUAAGAAGCCCGGCUAACUACGUGCC
This 138-nucleotide ribosomal RNA is filed under the name uncultured bacterium. RNAcentral's name for it is "partial 16S ribosomal RNA". It matches the Rfam family "Bacterial small subunit ribosomal RNA", at positions 354 to 509 of the family's 1533-position model. The record is from RNAcentral.